ACGUUCCUGCCAGCAGUGUAUGAGGCUCCCAAUUUCUCCACAUCCUCAUCCACAUUUAUUAUCUGUUUUCUCAUUAUAGCCGUCCUAGUGGUUGUUGAGGCCUGGCUCCCAGUUUUUCUGUGACUAUGAGGAAUGCAGUUAUAACCCUUGUCUGUGACUCUUGGCAUUAUUUUGUUGUAUUGAAUUCCUGGCAGUGGAACAUGCAUACCGAGGAGAGAGAGAGAGUGUAUAUGUUUCUAAAAGGAUUUUUGUUUUGUUUUAUUUUGUUGAAGAUAGAUGAUUUUUAAAAGGUUUUGGUGAGUUAUUACCAAAUGGAUCACCAGACGUUUCACUAACUUACCCUUUCUCUAGCAGGAUGAAGGGUGUGGGGAAAACAGAAGUUCCCAUGGCCAGGAUCCUCACCUGACCCUGAACCACUCGAUGAUCAGAUGGGUCUGCACGUGGGCUUGGUCAGCAGGACUGGGCUGCAACGCCAGCUUCCCAUCAGAGCCUUUCUUGACUGCUUGCAGCGCCGGCGUCGGCACCUCUAAGAUGGGAGAAGUGGGAUUGUUCUGAAAAUCUGCUCUGGGGUUCAGUCCUCCGACUCCACUCCCGCAUGUCUCAGCCUGGCAUCAAAGGCACCUGCAUCAAGAAGACGCUCCAUCUCCACAGCUGGAAUCAAUUUCUCCCUGGACUAUGACUCUGUCCCUCCGCUGGUUAAGAUGACCGCAUUUUCUGAACUGAAAUUGGGAUUCAUGCUCUCUCAUUAGUACAACUGCUCUUUGGAGAACAGGUGCAGAGAAUAUGAAAGUGCUCAACCAGGAAUCCUGGAACAUAUGAUCACUACGCAAGUUGUAGGCCUCACGUUCCCAGGUCAU
Manis javanica (Malayan pangolin) is the source of this 857-nucleotide non-coding RNA. Lineage: Eukaryota; Metazoa; Chordata; Mammalia; Pholidota; Manidae. The record is from RefSeq and is a predicted model, not a curated record.